This is a small nucleolar RNA of Paramormyrops kingsleyae, 131 nucleotides long. The record is from Ensembl. Lineage: Eukaryota; Metazoa; Chordata; Actinopteri; Osteoglossiformes; Mormyridae.
CUGCACUGUUCGUAACCUGCUUUCAGACCUUAGUCUGACUUUGGGUUCCAUUCCAGUGCUAUAUAAAUCCCAGUGAGGCAGGGGAGUCAUGUGUCUUGCACGAUCUCCCUGUUCACUCUCUGGGAACAUGG